Molecule: non-coding RNA, 28 nt
Filed under: Bombyx mori (domestic silkworm)
Lineage: Eukaryota; Metazoa; Arthropoda; Insecta; Lepidoptera; Bombycidae
Source: RNAcentral
UAUUCCUAAUCUACUAAGUGCAAAACUA